AACGAUGUAAGAAACGACGUCAUCCUUCCCUAAGGCGCUAUGCGAAUGAUGGAACAACGAGUCAAAUGUCGGUGAUUCACCUACAUGACUCUCUAAAUCGGGCCUAGGGUCAACACGAACAAUCUCGGGCGGAGUUUCCCAUUUUGAACAAAUUUCGUUCAAUUCUCCUAACAACUCCUCCGAGGUCAACUCUUUCAACGACUCAUGAUAUUCCCUAUUGUUCUCGUUGUUGACUUUGAAAUCCUCGUUGAGAAGAGACUCAAUCUCACUAUCCUCGAAACUAG
RNAcentral lists this long non-coding RNA (284 nucleotides) under Daucus carota (carrot). RNAcentral's name for it is "long non-coding RNA (DCAR_LNC007268)". Lineage: Eukaryota; Viridiplantae; Streptophyta; Magnoliopsida; Apiales; Apiaceae. The record is from RNAcentral.